This 637-nucleotide ribosomal RNA is filed under the name uncultured bacterium. RNAcentral's name for it is "bacterial SSU rRNA". It matches the Rfam family "Bacterial small subunit ribosomal RNA", at positions 202 to 842 of the family's 1533-position model. The record is from RNAcentral.
UAAAGGUAUUCCGGUAGACGAUGGGGAUGCGUUCCAUUAGAUAGUAGGCGGGGUAACGGCCCACCUAGUCUUCGAUGGAUAGGGGUUCUGAGAGGAAGGUCCCCCACAUUGGAACUGAGACACGGUCCAAACUCCUACGGGAGGCAGCAGUGAGGAAUAUUGGUCAAUGGGCGAGAGCCUGAACCAGCCAAGUAGCGUGAAGGAUGACUGCCCUAUGGGUUGUAAACUUCUUUUAUAAAGGAAUAAAGUCGGGUAUGGAUACCCGUUUGCAUGUACUUUAUGAAUAAGGAUCGGCUAACUCCGUGCCAGCAGCCGCGGUAAUACGGAGGAUCCGAGCGUUAUCCGGAUUUAUUGGGUUUAAAGGGAGCGUAGAUGGAUGUUUAAGUCAGUUGUGAAAGUUUGCGGCUCAACCGUAAAAUUGCAGUUGAUACUGGAUAUCUUGAGUGCAGUUGAGGCAGGCGGAAUUCGUGGUGUAGCGGUGAAAUGCUUAGAUAUCACGAAGAACUCCGAUUGCGAAGGCAGCCUGCUAAGCUGCAACUGACAUUGAGGCUCGAAAGUGUGGGUAUCAAACAGGAUUAGAUACCCUGGUAGUCCACACGGUAAACGAUGAAUACUCGCUGUUUGCGAUAUACGGCAA